This 468-nucleotide ribosomal RNA is filed under the name uncultured bacterium. Its description in RNAcentral is "partial 16S ribosomal RNA". It matches the Rfam family "Bacterial small subunit ribosomal RNA", at positions 31 to 507 of the family's 1533-position model. The record is from RNAcentral.
GAGGAACGCUGGAGGCGUGCUUAACACAUGCAAGUCGAACGGAAAGGCCCUGCUUUUGUGGGGUGCUCGAGUGGCGAACGGGUGAGUAACACGUGAGUAACCUGCCCUUGACUUUGGGAUAACUUCAGGAAACUGGGGCUAAUACCGGAUAGGAGCUCCUGCUGCAUGGUGGGGGUUGGAAAGUUUCGGCGGUUGGGGAUGGACUCGCGGCUUAUCAGCUUGUUGGUGGGGUAGUGGCUUACCAAGGCUUUGACGGGUAGCCGGCCUGAGAGGGUGACCGGCCACAUUGGGACUGAGAUACGGCCCAGACUCCUACGGGAGGCAGCAGUGGGGAAUAUUGCACAAUGGGCGGAAGCCUGAUGCAGCAACGCCGCGUGCGGGAUGACGGCCUUCGGGUUGUAAACCGCUUUCGCCUGUGACGAAGCGUGAGUGACGGUAAUGGGUAAAGAAGCACCGGCUAACUACGUG